Molecule: long non-coding RNA, 1823 nt
Organism: Myotis brandtii (Brandt's bat)
Lineage: Eukaryota; Metazoa; Chordata; Mammalia; Chiroptera; Vespertilionidae
Exons: 2
Source: RefSeq, a predicted model, not a curated record
GGGCUUUUAUUAUAUAGAUAAUAGGAAAGUAGGUCCAUGGCAAUUCCAGGUAGAUUUGGGCCCACUUUGGGCAAGACAUCUCACAGCACAUACAGAGUGGAACUAAAGUAGGUGUACAGUUGUUUGUAUGGAAAACAGUGCAAUAAUUAAUAAAUACUAAUACAAGAAUAAACUGUUUUUGCAUAUUCACAACUAUAAACCUACUUUUCCCCACCCUGUAUAGAAUGGUGCUGUCCUGUAGAAUCUCAGUCCCUUGGGAAAUCUCUAUACACAGGAGAGAGAAGGUGAGACAUAAGCCCAUCUAAUUUUAUCCAUCCACCUGCAGAAUCAACACAAAUGUGAGGUUAACCACACCAGCAGCCAGACUGCCUGGGGUAAACUGUUUAAGGAAGGUGCAAGACAAACAGUUUCAUCAGGUACAAGCUGGCUACCUAGAUCCCAUUUGGUAGGGACACAUUAAGAUAAAUAGAAAGGGAUAGGGAGGGCCAGUCAGUUAACAAUUAUUAAAGUCCCUAGAGUCUAGGUGAUAAGAAUAACAAGGGCAUAUAAUAGGGUAACAAUUAAAUUAGGCAUUUCAGUGUCUAAUAUAUGAAAGGCAGUGUUGCACAUAAGAAUAGCAUAGUAAGAAUAAAUUUUAGGUACAUAAUAUUAAAGUGGAGCCAAUAACACUUGUUAUAACAAGAAAAGUCUCACACUCUAACUUUAAAACACAAUUCAACUUAAGACUAGUUAGACUAGUAAGAUUUUCUACAGUGGCAUUUUAAAGGGAAUUCUUAGAAGUUAUUAGGUGGUUUUCACCACUAUUCAUUCAUAGCUUUCCCAUUUCUUCUGUUUCUCCUUUCCCUUUAUAACUAACUUCACCUUGACUCUUUCUCAUCAUGCUUGAGAAUUCCAGUUUCCUCUUUUAUCAUCUUCCUGUCUGUUGUGCCAGAAUGUACCUACAAUGUCACAUGGAAUACAGAAGAUAAAAGAUGCAGACAUUACUACUCCACAGUUCCACAUACGGCUUUCAACUAUUUCUAAUUUAUGGGUUAGCUUAUUAUAAUUUAAAUGAGGAAAAUAACAGUUUAAAAAAACCUUAUAAAAGCCUAUGUUGAUAUAUCUUACAAAUGGUUUAAUAACUAAUUGGUAUUUUGUGCUGUUGAAGUGUAAACCUUACUUGAGAAUGCAUAGAUGGAUCCAUGGACAUUUCUUGUCAGAAAAGAACAAUUGAAUAGAAAAGUAACAACUGUAGCCCUGGCCAGAUAGCUCAGUUGUUAGAAUGUUGUCCCCACACGCCAGGGUUGAAGGUUCGAUCCCCAGUCAGGGCACAUAUAAGAAUCAACCAAUUAAUGUGUAAGUAAGUAGAACUAAAAAUUGAUGUUUUUCUCUCCCUUCCUCUCUCUCUAAAAUUAAAAUUAAAAAAGGAAAAAUAACAACUGUAGAUGCAUUUUUAAGUCACCAAAAGGUAUUGUCACAAAAUAUUGUUAAAAUAAGUAUUUGCUAAACAUUUAAAUGAAAUUAUUCUCUAGAAUGAUGUGGUUUUCUACAUGCAAUUAACAAAGUCCCAGUAUAAAACAAAACCCAACUUUUCUCCAACCUCCUCCUCAAUUUUUGCCAGUUUUCACUUUUCACAUCCUCUGGCUCUGGACAAAGAGCAGACUUUGAAUGUGAGUGGUAGUAACUUGGGUGUUUUUUGUUUUGAAGAUGGACCCUUCAAAAUACUGACUGUAUGGCUCACUCACAAUUUUAAAAGAGUUAGUUCCUGAAGAUCAAAAUACCAAUUUUCUAAGUGUCUUUUCUCUAAGGAUUUAUUAAAUGAAUUGAUUGAAAUUUUCCUAUAA